This 858-nucleotide long non-coding RNA is filed under the name Mus pahari (shrew mouse). RNAcentral describes it as "lncRNA (MGP_PahariEiJ_G0002976.1)". Lineage: Eukaryota; Metazoa; Chordata; Mammalia; Rodentia; Muridae. The record is from RNAcentral.
AAUCAAUCUCAAGGAAGCACUCGGGGCACCAGGAUUCCCAGCACUUAGCUGGUGGGCAAAGGGGCUCAUCCCCCUCCCCACAUCCCACCUUCCCUCCUCCCAGUCUUCAGGAGUGCGGAGCUCCUGCCGGGAUCCAAGAGCAGGCUCUUGGUAGUCGAAGAAGGAUAUAACCUCCAGACCUGGAAUUUUAAGACGCAAGAACCAGCCAGCAAAUGUGGCAGCCGAGCAUGCGAAGAUUCAGAGUAGAAAGGAGGAGCCCCACGAGGGCUCCCAUCACUCAAGAAAUUCCCAAGGUUCCAGCUGCUGUGUACCAGGAACAGAUGACAAUGCCCAAAUAUACACAUUCUUUCACCAAACCUAUGGGACCGUGAUGGCUGCUGAAAAAGGAACUGGCUUUUUAUUUGGAAGCUAUGAAACUUGAGGUUCUACUGAAAAGGAGAAGAGGCCGCUGGAGAUUAGGAAGCCAUGAAAAAGACAUCCUCUCACUGGCAUGGAGCACAGCAAGCAGGUUAGGCUGGCUGGCCAUUGAUCUCCAUCCCAUCUAUCUUUGCCUCCUCGGCACUGGGAUUGCGUACACACCCAAGAGUCUUGGCAUGUUUCUUUAUCAUCUCCGUUUCAAGUUUUAUUUUUAUAAAAGUAAGAUAUUGAAUUUCAUUAGUGUUUAAUCAAGGAAGUUGUAAAGGUUUAAAUAUAUUUUCUGUUUUUAUUCAUCUCCUAGUGCGUUUCAAGUAGAACUUUCUAAGAUUUGAGGGCCAACUGUCAGCUUCACAUGUUUUAAACUGACAUGCAUUUGUCCAGAUUUACAAAGUUCAGCAUAGCAAGUUAAUGCAUGAUAUGUAAUAAGUGAUGAUCCAAUUG